RNAcentral lists this ribosomal RNA (301 nucleotides) under uncultured bacterium. Its description in RNAcentral is "partial 16S ribosomal RNA". It matches the Rfam family "Bacterial small subunit ribosomal RNA", at positions 509 to 807 of the family's 1533-position model. The record is from RNAcentral.
CAGUCGCCGCGGUAAUACGUAGGGUGCGAGCGUUAAUCGGAAUUACUGGGCGUAAAGCGUGCGCAGGCGGUUGUGUAAGACAGGUGUGAAAUCCCCGGGCUUAACCUGGGAACUGCGCUUGUGACUGCACAGCUAGAGUAUGGCAGAGGGGGGUGGAAUUCCACGUGUAGCAGUGAAAUGCGUAGAGAUGUGGAGGAACACCGAUGGCGAAGGCAGCCCCCCGGGCCAAUACUGACGCUCAUGCACGAAAGCGUGGGGAGCAAACAGGAUUAGAUACCCGAGUAGUCCCUGUCUCUUAUAC